Molecule: long non-coding RNA, 1627 nt
Organism: Bactrocera oleae (olive fruit fly)
Lineage: Eukaryota; Metazoa; Arthropoda; Insecta; Diptera; Tephritidae
Source: RefSeq, a predicted model, not a curated record
UCUACAGAAAGUUUGGAGCGGCAAAAUGUAUAUACAUAAUUUCGGUCGGAUGAUGAUAUUCAAAACAUAAAUUUUAAUAAAACUUGGAAAAUCCUUAUUAAAUACAUAUGUAGGCUUAACUCAUUAUAGCAUCUUGUAACAGAUAUGUUACAAACCCUUUCCGAGCACUCAAUACGGUGAAAAAAGAAAUUUGUUAAUUUUUACUUGAUGUGAGAUCACUGUUCGGGUUCGAAGGUGACGAUGAUAGGAUUGCCCAUCCCGAUUUUAAGUCGGAGACCAAUGUUUAGACUCCAAGACCGAUUUUGAGCAGGGCGAUGGACACUUUGAUAGUGCCUUAGAGCAAUCAUCCAUAUUUCCAAUUGCUACUCAGCCAGGUGGAUAACAAUAAGAACGGAAGAACUACCUGCUGAUAUUUAGAACUUAGAAACGCCCGUCCAGUUUUUUCUAAAAAUAUUUUCCCAAGAAUUAUUCCAGAAUAUCGCUGACCAAACCAAUACUUACAUUAUACACAAGGAUCCCAUCAAGAACUUUCACGUGUCCGAAAUCGACAUCCAGCAAUUCCAAGAGUGACGAACCAUUGAAAUUAUGAAAUCGGAACAACUUUCAUAAAGGAAACGAUGUCAGCUAAGAAAUUUAAAAAGUUAAGCCAAUUUAUGCACUUCAAUGACAAUUCUAAGGUGUUUCCUCGCCAGCAUUCCAACUCGGAUACGGUGUUUAAAAUUCGACCACUAGUGACUCAAUUAAACGAAACAUGUAUGUAAAUUUCGCUAAAGAAUCAGCUUUGUGUGGAUGAACAAAUUUAUUCAACGAAAGCAAGAAAUAACUUGAAAAGGUAUAAUCGCAAAAAGCCGAAAAAAUGGGGAAAUAAAAUAUUUCUACUUUGCGAUUCACGUACAAUUUGAAGUAGAAUCUGGAAGGCUUUAUUUUGACAACUAUUUUUCGUUGUUGUCAUAGAUAGAAUAUUUUGACUUAGGAAGAAUACGAUGGAUAAAGAUAUUUUUAAAAAUGCUCGUGGACACUCCGUCGAAUAUGUUGGAAAUGUAGGAGGAACAGAUGUAUCUACCAUUCUCUGGAAGGGCAACAAUUCUAUCAUGUGGUUUUGAUAAUGAGCUACCGAAAUUCAAAGUAAAGCGCUAUGAAAAGGCUAGGAAAAAAUAUAUUAACAUUGAAAGAUUUUUCAAAGUAGCGAGUAUAAUCGUCACUGGUUAGAUCUUGCAAUGUCUAAUUCUUGGUUCUUAUACAAAAGAAUUCGGAAAGAGAAGAAUGAGGAGGGCAAUCAGUUGUCAUCAGCUAAAUUUCGUUUAGAAGUUACUACGAUCUUGUGCAAGUACAAAGACAACUUUAACACGUAGAGCUGUUCAGAAGUAAAAGUAAGCGUCCACAUGCAAUGGAGUGCCACAAACGUGGUGUAGCUUUAUGCUACAACAAGCAUAACAAUUGGUUUAAAUAUUGUCAUACCAGCUAAUGUGUUUGUUUCAUUUUACACAAUGUAAAAUAUCUGUCACACUCCCGUUUUGUUUGUUUCCUCCCCAAAUAAAACAAAAAUUUUAAAAAUUGUACAGCACAACGACAAACUUGGAUAUUGCCGAUCAAAAUGUUAGGGAGUGUUUCUACCGAUUCAAUUGUU